UCAAAUGUUGGGGUUACAGGUGUGAGCCACCACGCCAGACCCAAGAUUAACAUUUAAAAGGUAGACUUAGUAACACAGCUUACCCUCUCUAUUGUGGGCGGGCCACGUCCAAUCUUUUGAAGGCCUGAAUAAAACAAAAAGGCUGGCCCUUCUACGAAUAAAAGGAACUCCUUUCCUGUCAACCUUUAAGCUGAGACAUGAGUUUUUUUCUUGCUUUUGGACAUAAAAUAAAAACAUUAGCUCUUUCUGGGUCUCAAGCCUGCCAGCCUUUGGACUGGAACUACAUCAUUGUCUCUCCUUCUCAGCCCUUCAGACUAGGACUGGGACUGCACCACCAGCAUUCCUGGGUCUCCAGCUCUCUUCAACGAAAUCAUUUUAGUGUACUGCCUUUUUCUUGAGGGGACCAUUACUGAUACAGAAAAAGUAAUUG
RNAcentral lists this long non-coding RNA (430 nucleotides) under Homo sapiens (human). RNAcentral describes it as "HSALNT0261786". Lineage: Eukaryota; Metazoa; Chordata; Mammalia; Primates; Hominidae. The record is from RNAcentral.